Molecule: ribosomal RNA, 253 nt
Filed under: uncultured bacterium
Lineage: Bacteria
Description: partial 16S ribosomal RNA
Rfam family: Bacterial small subunit ribosomal RNA
Source: RNAcentral
UACAGAGGGUGCGAGCGUUAAUCGGAAUUACUGGGCGUAAAGCGCGCGUAGGCGGCUUUGCAAGUCGGGUGUGAAAUCCCCAGGCUUAACCUGGGAACUGCAUUCGAGACUGCAUUGCUAGAGUAUGGGAGAGGGAAGUGGAAUUUCCGGUGUAGCGGUGAAAUGCGUAGAUAUCGGAAGGAACAUCAGUGGCGAAAGCGGCUCUCUGGGACGGUACUGACGCUGAGACGCGAAAGCGUGGGGAGCAAACAGG